CCUACGGGAGGCAGCAGUAGGGAAUAUUGCUCAAUGGGGGAAACCCUGAUGCAGCACCGCCGCGUGGGUGAUGAAGUUUUUCGGAUUGUAAACUCCUUUUGGUAGAGAAGAUAAUGACGGUAUCUUACGAAUAAGCACCGGCUAACUCCGUGCCAGCAGCCGCGGUAAUACGGAGGGUGCAAGCGUUACUCGGAUUCACUGGGCGUAAAGAGCGCGUAGGCGGGAUAGCAAGUCAGAUGUGAAAUCCGAUGGCUUAACCAUGGAACUGCAUUUGAAACUGUUAUUCUAGAGUAUGGGAGAGGUAGGUGGAAUUCUUGGUGUAGGGGUAAAAUCCGUAGAGAUCAAGAGGAAUACUCGUGGCGAAGGCGACCUGCUAGAACAUAACUGACGCUGAGGCGCGAAAGCGUGGGGAGCAAACAGGAUUAGAUACCCCAGUAGUC
This 440-nucleotide ribosomal RNA is filed under the name uncultured bacterium. Its description in RNAcentral is "partial 16S ribosomal RNA". It matches the Rfam family "Bacterial small subunit ribosomal RNA", at positions 338 to 795 of the family's 1533-position model. The record is from RNAcentral.